This 258-nucleotide ribosomal RNA is filed under the name Escherichia coli. RNAcentral describes it as "partial 16S ribosomal RNA". It matches the Rfam family "Bacterial small subunit ribosomal RNA", at positions 1 to 255 of the family's 1533-position model. The record is from RNAcentral. Lineage: Bacteria; Pseudomonadati; Pseudomonadota; Gammaproteobacteria; Enterobacterales; Enterobacteriaceae.
AAAUUGAAGAGUUUGAUCAUGGCUCAGAUUGAACGCUGGCGGCAGGCCUAACACAUGCAAGUCGAACGGUAACAGGGAUCAGCUUGCUGAUUCGCUGACGAGUGGCGGACGGGUGAGUAAUGUCUGGGAAACUGCCUGAUGGAGGGGGAUAACUACUGGAAACGGUAGCUAAUACCGCAUAACGUCGCAAGACCAAAGAGGGGGACCUUCGGGCCUCUUGCCAUCGGAUGUGCCCAGAUGGGAUUAGCUAGUAGGUGG